This is a small nuclear RNA of Mobula hypostoma (lesser devil ray), 86 nucleotides long. RefSeq annotates it as U4 spliceosomal RNA. NCBI's taxonomy places the organism in Eukaryota, Metazoa, Chordata, Chondrichthyes, Myliobatiformes, Myliobatidae. The transcript has a single exon. The record is from RefSeq and is a predicted model, not a curated record.
UGCUUAUUGAAAACUUUUCCCAAUACCCCGCUAUGACGACUUGAAAUACAGUCGGCAUUGGCAAUUUUUGACAGUCUCUGCGGAGA